GACGAACGCUGGCGGCGUGCUUAACACAUGCAAGUCGAACGGAAAGGCCCUGCUUUUGUGGGGGGCUCGAGUGGCGAACGGGUGAGUAACACGUGAGUAACCUGCCCUUGACUUUGGGAUAACUUCAGGAAACUGGGGCUAAUACCGGAUAGGAGCUCCUGCUGCAUGGUGGGGGUUGGAAAGUUUCGGCGGUUGGGGAUGGACUCGCGGCUUAUCAGCUUGUUGGUGGGGGAGUGGCUUACCAAGGCUUUGACGGGUAGCCGGCCUGAGAGGGUGACCGGCCACAUUGGGACUGAGAUACGGCCCAGACUCCUACGGGAGGCAGCAGUGGGGAAUAUUGCACAAUGGGCGGAAGCCUGAUGCAGCAACGCCGCGUGCGGGAUGACGGCCUUCGGGUUGUAAACCGCUUUCGCCUGUGACGAAGCGUGAGUGACGGUAAUGGGUAAAGAAGCACCGGCUAACUACGUG
Molecule: ribosomal RNA, 468 nt
Filed under: uncultured bacterium
Lineage: Bacteria
Description: partial 16S ribosomal RNA
Rfam family: Bacterial small subunit ribosomal RNA
Source: RNAcentral